UGCGCCUGUGGCUCAAUUGGAUAGAGCAGCGGACUACGGAUCCGCAGGUUGGGGGUUCGAGUCCCUCCAGGCGCGCCAU
RNAcentral lists this transfer RNA (79 nucleotides) under Coprothermobacter proteolyticus DSM 5265. Its description in RNAcentral is "tRNA-Arg". It matches the Rfam family "tRNA". Rfam says of the family: Transfer RNA (tRNA) molecules are approximately 80 nucleotides in length. The record is from RNAcentral. Lineage: Bacteria; Pseudomonadati; Coprothermobacterota; Coprothermobacteria; Coprothermobacterales; Coprothermobacteraceae.